GCCGAAUCUAACUGUCAUGACUGUGUAUGUAGAUUCUUAACUUUUGGUCCUGUUUUCAAAUUGGUCUACAUUAAGGUCCAAAGGGUCCAAAAUUAAACUUAGUUUGAUUUUGACAAAAAAUGAAUCAGUUAGGUUCUUUGAUAUGCUGAAUCUAAAAAUGUACUUAGAUUCUUGAUUAUUGGCCCAGUUUUCAAGUUGGUCCAAAUCGGGGUCCAAAAAUUAAACUUUGUUUGAUUUCAUCAAAAAUUGAAUAAAUG
This 257-nucleotide long non-coding RNA is filed under the name Mytilus galloprovincialis (Mediterranean mussel). The record is from RNAcentral. Lineage: Eukaryota; Metazoa; Mollusca; Bivalvia; Mytilida; Mytilidae.